UGUGAUUUGUCCCCACAAAACACUUCAUCACAAUUUCUUCCUAUCUACUCAAAGGGCCUUUGCUGCACAAUACUAAAUGUAAGAAUUCACUGAUAAAUGUAUCUAUGUACUGGCUCACUGGGAAAACUUCAGAAAUUCAUAUAGACAUGUGAGCUCAGCUACUCAGCAGCCCCUCUGCCUGGGGGAUAAUUCCUGGCAUCCGGAUACUUGAGUGCCAGACAGGUAGCCAUUCCAGAAAUAACAAACCCAGAUGAAGACAAAAGGGUGUGAUUAACUUGGCUGGGAAACAGGGAAAUGUAAAUAUCUCUUUUGUUACACUUGAUGGGUGCUUGGUGGAGGGCAAGGAGAACCCUGGGGCAGGGUCCAGGAUGCUCAGAUUACUGCCACCAGACCUCUCCUUUCAAGAUGUAACCAUGAUGUAGUUUGGGGGGAAUGUAAUACGGGGAUUAGCAGCUAAUAGAGUUUGGGUGCUCUUUUGUUCGGGGCUUCCAUCUUGUUCCACCUUGUGGCAGGUGGGAGUCCUGUCAUGAUAGUCUUCAAUAAAGACCAAGCCUACUGGCUGCUGUUUUGCUCUGGUAUUCCUGGCUGGUGCCUUGUUUUUUGUCCAAUGGAGCCCUCAGAUUUCUCUGUUAACAAGGCUUAAUGUUAUUUCUGCAGUUGCUCCUUAGCUUCAGCCAGUGUUGCUCAAAAGCAAAGUAAAAUUUUAAUCUGGAAAACCAAAUAAAUAAAAUUUAAAAUAGAUAGAUAAAAAGUUGCUUUCACAUUUCUGCUCACUUGUAAUGCGAUGCCCGGUGGCUUGUUCCCCUGGAGGUACAGAAACCUUUGAACUGAUCUCCGCCCAAAGUGUGUCCAAAAUUUGUUAACAACUUUUAUGAUAUAAAAGUGUGUUUGUGUUGUCAAAUGUUUCAUAAGCCACUAAAAUAGUGGCCUCAAUUUGCAAGCAGUUUGUUAAGAUAUUUCAUGCUGGUCUCUGGCAACAGUUUUCCUUUUUGGAUUUCCCACAGAAAUGGUAAAUCCGGAUUAAAUCUGGUUGGAGAAGUUUGGGCUAGCAAAAUGUGUGGGUGCUGCAACAAACAAACAAACCAACACCUUUGCAUGCAGGAACAGUGGCGAUUCCAUAAUAAACAUUCAUUCGCCAGUAAGUACCCUUUAUACCAUCAUAAGCUUGCAGCAGCCAUUUGUGCUGUUCACCAGAUAACUGCCAUAUGACUGGAAUGUAAUUCAGAAAUAUGUGCAGCUCAGUAAAUAAUAAUAAUAAUAAUAAUAAUAAUAAUAAUAAUUUAUUUGUACCCUUCCCUCCUCAUCCGGAGCUGGGCUCAGAGUGGCUAGCAUCAUAUAAAUAAUACAAUAUGCAAUAUAAAAACAAGCAAUCAGUCGAUUAAAAUGCAUCCCAAAAUUAAUUAAAAUAAAUUAAAGUUAAAGUUAAAACGGGACAAAUGACAAUCCUCAGGUUAAAAUUGAAAGUGAUUAAUGUUAAGUUGUGGGUGAACAUAUCAGAUGACACAGCGAUUCUUCAAACAGCUCUUGUUUAUUCACAGGCCAGAACAGAACUGAACUGAACAGCAAACAGCUCAGCCGGCCUGCUUUUAUAGGCAGCUGGGUGUCAACAUUGUAGCAACAACAACCCAGGGUUUCCCACCUAAAGUAACUGACGUGGACUUGAGUGAAAACUAUAUGCACGAUACUCCUGGUGGCCAGGGUCAGAACUUCAAUACAUAACAAUUAAUACUCGCCAGG
Molecule: long non-coding RNA, 1737 nt
Filed under: Podarcis lilfordi (Lilford's wall lizard)
Lineage: Eukaryota; Metazoa; Chordata; Lepidosauria; Squamata; Lacertidae
Source: RNAcentral